Long non-coding RNA from Mizuhopecten yessoensis (Yesso scallop), 947 nucleotides. RefSeq lists it as uncharacterized. The record is from RefSeq and is a predicted model, not a curated record. Lineage: Eukaryota; Metazoa; Mollusca; Bivalvia; Pectinida; Pectinidae. The transcript is spliced from 5 exons.
UUAUUAUUACAUUCCUGUAAUGAUGAAGCUAUAACGUAAUAUAUAGUCAUAUUAAAUUUUAAAAUUUAAAUUCAAGUUGAAAGCACGAUACUUAAGACCAAAAUUCAAAAAGUACUGUUUAUUUUGUUAUAGGUAAUGUUUUUAAUACAUGUAUGUUUCUAGGUUAAUUUGAUUGAUCAUUUGUGACACAUGCGACAGGGCAAAGGAUUAGACAUUUGAUAAGCCACAGUGGAUAAACGAUUUUGUAGUUCCUUUUAGAACAAGUACCAACAGGAAGAAAGUAUUUAAAUGGGGCGCUGAACUAUACAUGUGUGGUCUGCUUACAAUGGCAAUGUCCAGCCAAGUGUCCUACACACCACAAUACACCCGUCUGUACAGUAGUGUGUAUAGGAUUGAAAUAUAAAAAUAGAUUGAUAUUUGUCUGGUUCUAUUUCUCGGCCGGUUCUUUAGAUAUUGGUUACGUGGUAGAACAACUCGACAAGAUUAACCGUUAACGCCAUUUAACGCUGAAAAGGAAUUUGUCAAAACGUGGACACGGUUUGUAUAUCAAUGGUGGAAGUUGUCCUAAAGUAUGGACCUUACAGGAGAUGAGGCGUCGACUACCACAACCUAGAUAGGGCCAGGGGCUUUAUGGCUGCGAUAACUGCGUCAGGUCACAAGGUCACCACUCAGAAAACUAAAAAGUAUGCAGCGUGUGAUCUGUACAUUGAUUCCAAACACGUGUGGUCGUGCGACAUAACCAGUCUAGAACCAGCUGAAGGUCCUUUCCAUCCAUUGUGUGCAGAGGCUGUGAAGGCGAUUGAAGCUCACCAGAAAUCUUAAUACCCUGAUGUAAUAUGAUGCGGUAUACCUACGUCUCUCUAUGAAGGUUUCUUCUUAAACCAUGGACAGGCCGGAACUUGAUGUCAUGAGACUGUAAAACCAAAAUUAAAAAUAUGCAUUUAAUU